This 72-nucleotide ribosomal RNA is filed under the name Ixodes uriae (common seabird tick). RNAcentral's name for it is "partial 5.8S rRNA". Lineage: Eukaryota; Metazoa; Arthropoda; Arachnida; Ixodida; Ixodidae. The record is from RNAcentral.
ACUGAGGACUUACUCUUUGAACGCACAUGCGGCCUCGGGUUCUUCCCCUGGCUUCGUCUGUCUGAGGGUCGG